RNAcentral lists this long non-coding RNA (624 nucleotides) under Nicotiana benthamiana. Its description in RNAcentral is "long non-coding RNA (NBEN_LNC035504)". Lineage: Eukaryota; Viridiplantae; Streptophyta; Magnoliopsida; Solanales; Solanaceae. The record is from RNAcentral.
CGUGUAAAUCUGUAAGGAUGGAUCCAUCCAAUUUUCUAUAUGGUGCCACUGUAAAGAAGUAUCAGAGGAAUGCUAUUCAUGGAGAGCUGUUUGUUUACUGUGAUCUCCUUGCCUGAGUUGUGCAUACCGUAUUUGCUAUGUUGUGCAUUUCUUUUUCUUUUGUUUCCUUUUUUCUAUUAUGUAAAUCAUACACGAUAUUUGUCUUGUAUUCACCUUUUUUUUGGAGGAUAAACAACCCAAAAUCUGUAAGGAUGGAUCCAUCCAAUUUUCUAUAUGGUGCCACUGUAAAGAAGUAUCAGAGGAAUGCUAUUCAUGGAGAGAUGUUUGUUUACUGUGAUCUCCUUGCCUGAGUUGUGCAUACCGUAUUUGCUCUGUUGUGCAUUUCUUUUUCUUUUGUUUCCUUUUUUCUAUUAUGUAAAUCAUACACGAUAUUUGUCUUGUAUUCACCUUCUUUUCCAUUUUAUGGUGCAUUGGAUUCAUUCUGUAAACUCUCGAGUGUAGAAGAGUUGCAAGGAGGUUUAGAAAACAACUACUAUACUCAUUUAUGCUAUUUCUUCAUGUAUGUAUGUCCAACAACGCUGUUUUGAGGUCGAUUUAGAUGACCACGUGAAUGAGUUUUGUUUA